GUGCUCACUUCGGCAGCACAUACGCUAAAAUUGGAACGAUACAGAGAAGAUUACCAUGGUCCCCGCACAAGGAUGACAUGCAAAUUCAUGAAUCCGUCCAUAUUUUU
Molecule: small nuclear RNA, 107 nt
Organism: Meriones unguiculatus (Mongolian gerbil)
Lineage: Eukaryota; Metazoa; Chordata; Mammalia; Rodentia; Muridae
Source: Ensembl